This is a long non-coding RNA of Ceratina calcarata, 3101 nucleotides long. RefSeq lists it as uncharacterized. The transcript has 3 exons. NCBI's taxonomy places the organism in Eukaryota, Metazoa, Arthropoda, Insecta, Hymenoptera, Apidae. The record is from RefSeq and is a predicted model, not a curated record.
UCUGAUUUGAUUCGGGAACGACGAGGCGAGUUUUUCCAGCGGCGACGUAGAAAUUGAGGGAAAAAUGCUGGGAACGUGACGCGCGAUUCUUCGCGAGACGCCAGACUGAGCUCUACAGUCGCUGGCAAACGUACAGAGCGCAGGAGAGGGAACGAUGAUGACGGCGACACGAGUCGCAUAAUCGGUUCACGAUUGGAAACGGGUCAUGGAACUACCUAAGGGAAGGGACCUUAAAGAUUGAAAGUUCCAUUUCGGAGAAAGCUGUGUGACACCGAUGGGAUUAACGUUCUAACGAUCCGAAGCGCAGCGACUGAAAUUUUCAGCAAGCCUGCAAAUUGUUUUCCAACUCUAUACCGGGGAAGAAGUCCUAUGAGAUCAUACUUUUGAGAACGAGUCUUACACAUUUUUAUGUCAUAGACGAAACAGUGAUAAUGACUACAGGGAGAAGGAUCUCUCGAGCAUGGUACAUACGAUCGUUUAGUUCAUUUCGAGACCGGCAACUUAAGAGAGAGCCCUGAGAAAAAUUUAAAAUCAAUUCGUUGCGUUCUUUACUUCACUUCUCAUUAUACCUGCUUCCCUUAAAACAAACGCAGUUCUCGUAUUUGAUUCAUUUUGUUUAAUUAUCUAGAAACGAGCUUGCUCUCGCAACACAAUUUCCUAUGAAAUAGGAUAUCUUGCCUUCUUUCACCAACAGAAAACUACACAAAAUUACUGCGAUGCUUUUCAGAUUCCGUGUAUAAUAAAGCUAAAUAAAAUAUUGUACACUUUUCUUGAACAGUUGUUUAAUUGCUACGAUUCCAGUUACGAUUUCAAAAGCCCUUGCCCGAAGGAAUGAAAGAGAAAUUAGACGACGUGCCAACUGGCAUUUAAUCAAACAUCGACCUUGCGCCUUCAGAUAACCUCGUACCAAUUUCACCAGGAAGUCAAAAAGUGGGUAGCGGAUAAAAAAGGACAGCAGAGUCGGGGUUAAGAAGAAGACAAAAAAUUCUUUUAGUAAAACCGCUUGAAUCGCAGUUCUCUCUGGAGCACGUACUCCUGUUAUCGUGGGUACGUGCGACUCUUUAAAAACACUAGGUAGGCUCCCGCCGGCUGUUCCGUAGGGACUGCAUAGACGUCCGAUCCCGAGGAUACGCUACGCUCGGUCUCGGCGAAACGUAUCCAGCAGUAAAUAAUGGCACCGACUCGUUCCUACGGCUCGAUGACAUAAUAAUCCUACCCAAGCUAAAUCGCGUUGAAACGGAUUCACCGUUUGACCCUGUCGUCUCGAUCCCCGUUUCUCCGUUGGCGGUGAUCGCGCUCGAUUUAUUGCGACCCGGGAAAUCGUUGCUCCAGUGCAUUGGUCUCUGCCCGGGAAAUCUUCAACGGGCAUUCUCGUGGAAACCGAGCACACCCGUAAUUCGACCGAGUAUUUGUCGUCCUCGAACGAACUGAAGGACGAGCUCCGUGUUUCUUUGCCACGUUACGCCACUGAGCGUUUAAACGAGAGGGUCGUUCAGAUGGAAGAGGAUACAAGCACCUUGCUAUUCUCGAAUUUCAAUCAUCUAUCUGGGGAGAACCCUGGGGACUAAUAAUCCUCGGUGUCGUCGAACUCUGACCCCGUCUUCCGGAACGUCGAUCAAAGACCCUCUUUCUGCUUGCACCCGGGGAUAAGCUCGGGUCUUAUUUUUGCAAAAGCCGAGUUAACAACAAAAUUUUUGCCUUUCCUCUUUGUCGAACAGGUUCGAUGCUCUACUACAAAAUUCCCCUACAGCGUUUCAUUCCCCUGGAGCUCGCACCGUUGGGGCGAUACCAUGGCGAGAGACUCUCGCUCGUGGCUGCGUUUGAAUAACGUCGAAACACCAACGUGGAAAAGUGCAAGGCUAGACUUACAGGCGUCCGUGAUUAAUUCUAGUGGCAGCUGCUCGAACGGAGCUCGUUAGCAUCUUCGAUCUGACCGCAGUAAUCCCUUCUAGUCUCUCUCGAACGAGAGAUCGAGUGUAAAAAGUAGCGAACAAGCGUAGCUAAUUUUCGGGUUGAAAAAGAAAAAGAAGGUCGACCAUCGACGGUCAACGUUCGAGCGACGAACGGGGAAAUUUGUUGGAAAAUCAAGUGUCAAAGAGCGCAAGGUCGAGAUUACACCGGGCGAACGUUGAUUAAAACCUGGCAACUGCUCUCUUUCUCUCCGGUUGGCUCGACAGAAUAAUUAGUGCGUACAAUUAGCCCGGCUCCGUGAAAACGGCAAGAUUUAACGAUUGUUUGUCAGAAACCAACACAAUUUUCCAGAGUCGAGAUUAAUGUUUCCCCUGGAACCAACUUUGCAACCUCCAUAGGGGAGGAUCGAUGUCAGAGCCUGGUUAAAAAGACUAAAAAAUGAAUCUAAGAUACCCUGUAAAUUUUUUCUCCUAUCAAAAGAAAUGUCACAGACUCAAGAAACGGGAUAAGAAGAAGCGUUGGUUCUACGUUAUGUUUCGGUGGCGUCCCGGCCAAUGAAAACGCAUCGGUCGCGUGCAACCUUGACCCAGCGAAGUGCAAACCACGAGCGGAAAAAUUUGCGAAACCGGAGGCAGAGGCCACCGCAACGAUUUUUACCCCAAAAUUCGUCGACGCAGAUAAUUUUACGCGGUAUCAAUCUGUGCCCGGAUGUUUCGUACGCAUGCAAGCGAGCAGCCCGCUCCUCUUCCUAACGCGUGUGGGAUUUGAAUUUCAUCGGUGGAAAUUCCAUCCGCUUUCCGGCUCGCUUUCAUACAUAUGUACACGUGUAUUCUCUUCCACGUUUCUCUCCUACGUCGCUUUGACCGCAGCCUUGGUCACCCGCGUUCCCCGAAGGAAAAUCUAGAAAAAUCGACGCCGUUCGAAUUGAGCUCCAGGGUGUUCGUAACGUGAUUCGUAAAAAAUAGAACAACGGGAACCGGGGAAGAGCUCAGGGAAAGACGAAGCACGGUUUCCGUCGUUUCGAUGUGCACAUCGUGGAUUCGCGCUGAUUUCCGAGAGAAAAGCAGUUUGGGCAGUUGUAUUGAUCGACGAAAAUGGGGUCCAGCCCCUCGAUACGAAGAACGUCGUCUACUUGCUGACUGGAUCUGGUUACGCUCCGGGAAAUUUCGCGGCGAACAGUUUGUGACCAA